RNAcentral lists this ribosomal RNA (759 nucleotides) under uncultured Porphyromonas sp. RNAcentral's name for it is "bacterial SSU rRNA". It matches the Rfam family "Bacterial small subunit ribosomal RNA", at positions 28 to 776 of the family's 1533-position model. The record is from RNAcentral. Lineage: Bacteria; Pseudomonadati; Bacteroidota; Bacteroidia; Bacteroidales; Porphyromonadaceae.
GAUGAACGCUAGCGAUAGGCUUAACACAUGCAAGUCGAGGGGCAGCAUGAUCUUAGCUUGCUAAGGUUGAUGGCGACCGGCGCACGGGUGCGUAACGCGUAUGCAACUUGCCUUACAGAGGGGGAUAACCCGUUGAAAGACGGACUAAAACCGCAUACACUUGUAUUAUUGCAUGAUAUUACAAGGAAAUAUUUAUAGCUGUAAGAUAGGCAUGCGUCCCAUUAGCUGGUUGGUGAGGUAACGGCUCACCAAGGCAACGAUGGGUAGGGGAACUGAGAGGUUUAUCCCCCACACUGGUACUGAGACACGGACCAGACUCCUACGGGAGGCAGCAGUGAGGAAUAUUGGUCAAUGGGCGAGAGCCUGAACCAGCCAAGUCGCGUGAAGGAAGACAGUCCUAAGGAUUGUAAACUUCUUUUAUACGGGAAUAACGGGCGAUACGAGUAUUGCAUUGAAUGUACCGUAAGAAUAAGCAUCGGCUAACUCCGUGCCAGCAGCCGCGGUAAUACGGAGGAUGCGAGCGUUAUCCGGAUUUAUUGGGUUUAAAGGGUGCGUAGGUUGUUCGGUAAGUCAGCGGUGAAACCUGAGCGCUCAACGUUCAGCCUGCCGUUGAAACUGCCGGGCUUGAGUUCAGUGGCGGCAGGCGGAAUUCGUGGUGUAGCGGUGAAAUGCAUAGAUAUCACGAGGAACUCCGAUUGCGAAGGCAGCUUGCCAUACUGCGACUGACACUGAAGCACGAAGGCGUGGGUAUCAAACAGG